CUGCGGCCACUCCGCCUCUUUCCUCCUGCCGUCCCUUCCUUCUUUCUCUUCUUCCUUCUUCCCCUUCUCGCCGCCGCCGCCCAGGACCGCCGGUCGGGGGACGAGCUCCGCGCAGCAGCCAGGAAUUUUCUUAACCACAUAACCCCUCAGACCUGAACCACAACAUUGUUCCUGGAGCACCUCUGUUUAAGGUAGAACUUUAGACUUCAUAGCACUGAAUUAACCAGCACUGAAAGCUGUUAACCUGCAGUUGUUCACUUUUGUUGAAAGUGACCAUGUCUCAAGUUCAAGUGCAAGUUCAGAACCCAUCUGCUGCUCUCUCAGGGAGCCAAAUACUGAACAAGAACCAGUCUCUUCUCUCACAGCCUUUGAUGAGUAUUCCUUCUACUACUAGCUCUCUGCCCUCUGAAAAUGCAGGUAGACCUAUUCAAAACUCUGCUUUACCCUCUGCAUCUAUUACAUCCACCAGUGCAGCUGCAGUUCCUUCUAGCAUGGCACACCCCAAAGAGAAAACCCCAAUGUGUCUUGUGAAUGAGUUAGCCCGUUUCAACAAGAUUCAGCCUGAGUAUAAGCUUUUGCGUGAGCAAGGUCCAGCUCACUGUAAGGUGUUUACAGUACAGCUAACACUUGGAGAUCAGCACUGGGAAGCUGAAGGAACUAGUAUUAAAAAAGCCCAACAUACAGCUGCUGCCAAAGCUUUGGAAGGAACAAAAUUUCCUAAACCCAUAGUCCGCCCUUUUCGUAGCGAAGGAAGGAAUCCAGGUAUUAUGCGUGGGCCAAGACAGGUUCCUUUCAAAAGUAUGUCUAGAGACAGCAUAACCCCUACUGUAGAGCUAAAUGCACUGUGCAUGAAACUUGGGACAAAACCAAUGUAUAAGCCUGUUGACCCUUACUCUCGGAUGCAGUCCACCUAUAACUACAACAUGAGAGGAGGUGCUUAUCCCCCAAGGUACUUUUACCCAUUUCCAGUACCACCCUUACUUUAUCAAGUUGAACUUUCUGUGGGAGGACAGCAAUUUAAUGGGAAAGGAAAGACAAGACAGGCUGCAAAACAUGAUGCUGCUGCGAAAGCUUUGAGGAUUCUGCAGAAUGAGCCCCAACCUGAGAGGCUGGAGAUGAACGGAAGAGAAUCAGAAGAAGAAAAUCUCAAUAAAUCUGAAAUAAGUCAAGUGUUUGAGAUUGCACUUAAACGGAACUUGCCUGUGAAUUUUGAGUCUUUCCCUCUAAAACAGGUCGCCCGGGAGAGUGGCCCACCCCACAUGAAGAGCUUUGUGACCAGGGUGUCUGUUGGGGAGUUUGUGGGGGAAGGUGAAGGGAAGAGCAAGAAGAUUUCAAAGAAAAAUGCUGCUAUAGCUGUUCUUGAGGAGCUGAGGAAGUUACCACCCCUGCCUACAGUUGAGCGGGUGAAGCCCCGAAUCAAAAAGAAAACAAAACCCAUAGUCAGGGUACAGAGUGGCCCAGAGCAUGGCCAGGUGAUCAACCCAGUUAGCAGACUGGCCCAGAUCCAGCAGGCAAAAAAGGACAAGGAGCCGGAGUACAUGCUUCUCACAGAGCGAGGUGCCCCGCGCCGCAGGGAGUUUGUGAUGCAGGUGAAGGUGGGAAACCAUACCGCAGAGGGAACGGGCACCAACAAGAAGGUGGCCAAACGCAAUGCAGCCGAGAAUAUGCUGGAGAUUCUUGGUUUCAAAGUCCCGCAGGCUCAGCCCACCAAACCAGCCCUCAAAUCAGAGGAGAAGACACCUAUAAAGAAACCAGGGGAUGGAAGAAAAGUAACCUUUUUUGAACCUGGCUCUGGGGAUGAAAAUGGGACUAGCAAUAAAGAGGACGAGUUUAGGAUGCCUUAUCUUAGUCAUCAGCAGCUGCCUGCUGGGAUUCUUCCCAUGGUGCCUGAGGUUGCCCAGGCUGUAGGAGUCAGUCAAGGUCAUCACACCAAAGAUUCUACCCGGGCAGCUCCGAAUCCUGCCAAGGCCACAGUAACUGCCAUGAUAGCCCGUGAAUUGUUGUAUGGGGGCACCUCACCCACAGCCGAGACCAUUUUAAAGAAUAACAUCUCUUCAGGCCACGUACCCCAUGGACCUCUCACGAGACCCUCUGAGCAAUUGGACUAUCUUUCCAGAGUCCAGGGAUUCCAGGUUGAAUACAAAGACUUCCCCAAAAACAACAAGAACGAAUUUGUCUCUCUUAUCAAUUGCUCCUCUCAGCCACCUCUGAUCAGCCACGGUAUUGGAAAGGAUUUGGAAUCCUGCCAUGAUAUGGCCGCACUGAACAUUUUAAAGUUGCUGUCUGAGUUGGACCAACAAAAUACAGAGAUGCCAAGAACAGGAAAUGGACCAAUGUCAGUGUGUGGAAGGUGCUGAACCCCUUCUGGCCAUGAACCAUUAUAAAAUUCCCAACGUAUACUGAAAAUACUGAAACUGCUUUGAAAAUUUGGGAUUUCUGAUACCUCCAGUGGGCCGAGAGACAUGAUGGGUAAAGAACUGGAGACAGCAGUGGUGACAGGCGGGAACGCAAGGAGACGGCCGUGGCUGCUCUUACAUGUGCUGUGGGGAGGUGGGGCCUGCCAAGCAGCCCUGGUUCAGUUGGGAAACCAGCAGGUCUGUGGCCCGGGCACCUCAGUGCUUGGUUUGGGAUUUGUGUUUGUAUUUUUUGCUGUGUAAAAGAAGAAAGCAAAAAGCAUGACCCCUUCUCAGACUGGCUCACUCAAACACUUUGGGACAUAUCCUGGACACCCACGCCGGAGAGAGGCCUUAGACCACCGGCCCAGAGCUGAAAGCACCAGAGAAAAAUCAGAUGCUUCCUACUCAGCGCAAGCUAACCUUUCUAGCGUGCUAUGGCCCACUUCCCACGGUCCCCACACCAUCACCACUGCUUUCUCUUCCAAAAGAAAUACACAUUCUUACUUUCAUUAUUUUCUUUUGAUUGAAAUGACACUAUAUAAAUUUUCCUUUUGAGUUUCUCAAUUGUAUCUAGUUACAUAGCACAGUUUAGAAACUUUCCUGAGACUAACUUUAUCAGUAAUCUAACCGGCAAAGAUAAAUCCAUGUGUAUAUGGUUAUAAUUUGUAUUUUAUUGGACUAACCCAGGACCAUUUCAGUGAUGUAAAUUGUGUGCCCUCUGGUUUAGCUGAAACAGUCCUGGACUUCUCAGAAAUCUUUAUGAAGUUUCCUACAGUUGUAUAAAUUGGACAGUUUAGGAAUUUUAAACUUUCAAUGAUCAUUUGGCUCCUUUGCUAUUUCAUUUUUGUUAAUGCAACAGGACUUAAAUGAACUUUGAUCUUUGUCUUAAAGGUUAUUACAAUUGUGUGUAUAUACAUAUGGCUCUUGAGGACACAUAGCUUUCACAACACUACAGGAUAUGAUCUCCAUGUAGUACAUAUAAAACUGCAGAUUGAUUUUCCCGAGUGCUUUAUACUGUUGAUUACAUCUCCAUGUCGGGCUGAAAAGAAUGACCUGUUUAUCUCUAAAACUGUAUUGCUUUUGAUGUGUUACUGUGCACAGAAGUAUGUGCGGUAAGGUCCUUCCUGCACAUGGUCCAGAUGGAAAGCACCAUAGCCUUGCGAGUUAAGUACUGCUUCGAUCCAUUGUUUACGCUGGAAAUUUUUCUCCCCAUGGAAUACCCACUUGGAGACAGGUCAGGAUGUCUUCUCAGCUGAUGUUUGCUGCAGAAACCCAGGUUCCUGGGAACAGCAAUAAUUUUUCUCUCCAGAUGCAGAAAGGUUGACUCUAGCUGCAAGAUGAACAGUUUCCUGGUGCAAGCUGUGCUCAGAAGUCUCCCAGCUUUCUUCAGACCAUCCUGGGCUUCAUUAGUCAAAUCAUAGUUCAAAGCAGUGUCACACUGGCCGCCUGAAGGUACCCUUGGAGAU
This is an RNA transcript of Molossus molossus (Pallas's mastiff bat), 3862 nucleotides long. It is a transcript of the gene named staufen double-stranded RNA binding protein 1, with no coding region annotated. The record is from RefSeq and is a predicted model, not a curated record. Lineage: Eukaryota; Metazoa; Chordata; Mammalia; Chiroptera; Molossidae. The transcript is spliced from 18 exons.